GCUCUUCUAGUAUAACAAUUACAAUCGACUUCCAAUCCUUAGAUUCUGGUUUAAAUCCAGAGAAGAGUA
This 69-nucleotide transfer RNA is filed under the name Diglossa brunneiventris (black-throated flowerpiercer). Its description in RNAcentral is "tRNA-Gly". It matches the Rfam family "tRNA". From Rfam's summary of the family: Transfer RNA (tRNA) molecules are approximately 80 nucleotides in length. Their secondary structure includes four short double-helical elements and three loops (D, anti-codon, and T loops). Further hydrogen bonds mediate the characteristic L-shaped molecular structure. tRNAs have two regions of fundamental functional importance: the anti-codon, which is responsible for specific mRNA codon recognition, and the 3' end, to which the tRNAs corresponding amino acid is attached (by aminoacyl-tRNA synthetases). tRNAs cope with the degeneracy of the genetic code in two manners: having more than one tRNA (with a specific anti-codon) for a particular amino acid; and 'wobble' base-pairing, i.e. permitting non-standard base-pairing at the 3rd anti-codon position. Lineage: Eukaryota; Metazoa; Chordata; Aves; Passeriformes; Thraupidae. The record is from RNAcentral.